This 458-nucleotide ribosomal RNA is filed under the name uncultured bacterium. RNAcentral describes it as "partial 16S ribosomal RNA". It matches the Rfam family "Bacterial small subunit ribosomal RNA", at positions 338 to 795 of the family's 1533-position model. The record is from RNAcentral.
CCUACGGGUGGCAGCAGUGAGGAAUAUUGGUCAAUGGCCGGAAGGCUGAACCAGCCAUGCCGCGUGAAGGUCAGUGCCCUAUGGGCGUUAAACUUCUUUUGUGCGGGAGCAAUAAUGGUCACGUGUGGCCAGACGAGAGUACCGUACGAAUAAGCAUCGGCUAACUCCGUGCCAGCAGCCGCGGUAAUACGGAGGAUGCGAGCGUUAUCCGGAUUUAUUGGGUUUAAAGGGUGCGUAGGCGGUCCGUUAAGUCAGCGGUAAAAUUGCGGGGCUCAACCCCGUCGAGCCGUUGAAACUGGCAGACUUGAGUUGGCGAGAAGUAUGCGGAAUGCGCGGUGUAGCGGUGAAAUGCAUAGAUAUCGCGCAGAACUCCGAUUGCGAAGGCAGCGUACCGGCGCCAGACUGACGCUGAGGCACGAAAGCGUGGGGAUCGAACAGGAUUAGAUACCCCGGUAGUC